AAGAAGAUGAAGAGAAGAAGGUUGUGAUGAGGGAAAAUGUCCCAAGGGGCCCAUAUACACAGGAACACUACAAUGAACAGUAUUACAGCACCGCUGCUACUGUCAUGGUGUUCCCAGAAAUUGCUCUUUGCAGCUCUUCCAGGAGAACAUGUGGGGGAAGAAUGAUUGACGACCUGCAACUUAUGGAACACACAAGCUACAUUCUAGGACCUCCGCCCUUCCAAUCACAUCCUCCCCUGUCUCUAAGGAGCGCAGAAACAAAGGUAGAAUGUUUUAAAUGCUACAAGGCUGCAACCUUUUGCCUUCAGAAGCUAUGUCGGCCUCGGUUUGAGUGAAGGGAAUGGAUUCGGUCAAUUAUUCAUUGAGUAAGCAUGAAGCUUUCUAAUGUUCGUCCGCUGCUUUCUUCUCUGAGAUUUUUUCCCUUUAAUGCCCUGCAGCUCUCAGUUAUCUGUCGA
Etheostoma cragini (Arkansas darter) is the source of this 455-nucleotide long non-coding RNA. RefSeq lists it as uncharacterized. The record is from RefSeq and is a predicted model, not a curated record. Lineage: Eukaryota; Metazoa; Chordata; Actinopteri; Perciformes; Percidae. The transcript has 3 exons.